This 465-nucleotide ribosomal RNA is filed under the name uncultured bacterium. Its description in RNAcentral is "partial 16S ribosomal RNA". It matches the Rfam family "Bacterial small subunit ribosomal RNA", at positions 28 to 507 of the family's 1533-position model. The record is from RNAcentral.
GACGAACGCUGGCGGUGUGCUUAACACAUGCAAGUCGAACGGUAAGGCCCUUUCGGGGGUACACGAGUGGCGAACGGGUGAGUAACACGUGAGUAACCUGCCCUCAUCUCUGGGAUAACAGUCGGAAACGGUUGCUAAUACUGGAUAUGAGCCUGCAAGGCAUCUUGUGGGUUGGAAAGAUUUUUUGGUUGGGGAUGGACUCGCGGCCUAUCAGCUUGUUGGUGAGGUAGUGGCUCACCAAGGCUUCGACGGGUAGCCGGCCUGAGAGGGCGACCGGCCACAUUGGGACUGAGAUACGGCCCAAACUCCUACGGGAGGCAGCAGUGGGGAAUAUUGCACAAUGGACGGAAGUCUGAUGCAGCAACGCCGCGUGCGGGAUGACGGCCUUCGGGUUGUAAACCGCUUUCAAUUGUGACGAAGCAUUUUGUGACGGUAGCAGUAGAAGAAGCACCGGCUAACUACGUG